Molecule: ribosomal RNA, 407 nt
Filed under: uncultured bacterium
Lineage: Bacteria
Description: partial 16S ribosomal RNA
Rfam family: Bacterial small subunit ribosomal RNA
Source: RNAcentral
AUUGAACGCUGGCGGCAGGCCUAACACAUGCAAGUCGAACGGAGCGGCGGACGGGUGAGUAAUGCCUAGGAAUCUGCCUGGUAGUGGGGGAUAACGUCCGGAAACGGGCGCUAAUACCGCAUACUAUCAGAUGAGCCUAGGUAGGAUUAGCUAGUUGGUGGGGUAAAGGCCUACCAAGGCGACGAUCCGUAACUGGUCUGAGAGGAGGAACAGUCACACUGGAACUGAGACACGGUCCAGACUCCGACGGGAGGCAGCAGUGGGGAAUAUUGCACAAUGGGCGCAAGCCUGAUGCAGCCAUGCCGCGUGUAUGAAGAAGGCCUUCGGGUUGUAAAGUACUUUCAGCGGGGAGGCGUUACCCGCAGAAGAAGCACCGGCUAACUCCGUGCCAGCAGCCGCGAUAAUUC